Long non-coding RNA from Panicum virgatum (switchgrass), 442 nucleotides. RefSeq lists it as uncharacterized. The transcript has 2 exons. NCBI's taxonomy places the organism in Eukaryota, Viridiplantae, Streptophyta, Magnoliopsida, Poales, Poaceae. The record is from RefSeq and is a predicted model, not a curated record.
CUCACCCACCCCGCCCAUACCCUCCUCUACCGUACCCGCUGCCCGCGCCGAUCUGCCCCGUGCCGUUCCGCCCGCACCCGCGCAUGCUCCGCCUCACCGUAUCCUGACGCCCCGCCAGCAAGGGGACGCCUUCCGUUGGACCACAUGGUGCUCAGCUUGAUGAAGGACGCCGCGACUGUCGAGCAGCCACCGCGGGGGCGCUGCAACUGCUUCGACGGCACCAACCACGAGGAGAGCGGAAAUGUAUAUGAGAGGAGACGCACAGCAACCAACUGAACAAGAAGCCAUCGCCAAGCACGCGCAUCGGCCGCGCCCACGAUCCAGCAGUUACCUUUAUUUCAAUUCGUGUGUAAUCAGUUGUAAACAAGAACCUAUAACUAUUGUAUUCAGAGGUUAAUGCAAGUUAAGCUAGAGAUCAAUCUGAUCUCUGGGCGCCUGUGUC